UGUGAUAAAAUCCAGCAGAAAUUGCAGAAAUUUCUAUGACUGUCCCAUCUGAAUUGGGCUUGAAGAAAGCUGUGGUCUUGCCACCAAACAACCCUAUUCAGAUGAAAUGGACCUAAUUUUCAGACACAGAAAUUUCUGGAACAAGUCUGCGGCAGGUUAACUUACCCCAGAAGUAAAGGGGAAUAAGAAGAAGCUUAAAUCAGAUGGUGAUUAGAGUAAUUAUUUUACUUACAUGAUGCUGACUUUAGUCUGGAUAUUAAUAUGAGAUCCGAACAAUCUCAUCAUUAUGACCAUUUAAAUGUUGCCAUUUUUUUUUUUUUUUACAGGAUAGCCCCUGGCGGCAGAAUUCUCCUGGAUCCACUUCUGGCACUUGCUUAAAAAGUGCAUAAAAAAUCCCCCCCCAGCGUUGGUGAGCAUAUUUUCCUGAUUCCCGCUGCUGGGUUCCGGCUUCAUCCUCCUCGGUGCCACUGGUCUGACGAGUACCCGUGUCAACUUCAGUUGGGAUGAGGCCAUGGUAUAGGAAAAGGAAAAAAAGGGUUUGAGUGAAUGGUGAGAGCAAGAGCACCCGGAUCCAACAGCAGAAGUGGUGUCCAUAUCUGGCUACAGUUACAUAUUAACAAGCACAAUUUUACAGGGUCGAUAUAGCAAACAAAUAAGCAAACACGGACUCACCCUCCUGGCUUGAAAAAAAAUCAUCCGUCCUUAAAUUAAUCUGACAUAUCUGAGUAGAAACAAAUAAAGUCAUAUUGAGACAUUUAUCUGUGGGAUAUGCAUAGCGCAUUGUAGUUAACAUUUAUCUCAUGAAUUGCGCGGUGAUCCCAUACAUAUAGAUUGAUUUUCUUCAGGUAGAUAAUGAAAAGUCAAGUGGAAAAUUUACACAAUGGCUCUCACGAUCUUGGGCUUCUACUGGUAUAUAAAUUGGAUUAUUAUUUGCUGAACUGGCGGAGGUUUUGAACAUGCUAUUUCAAAAAAGAAAAAUAACUUCCAGGAGGGAAACUAGAUAAAAAAUAAUCUCUACCGUGUCCUGAAAAUAAUUGUAGAACUCAUAUACAUAGGUUGAAAUGCUCAGGAUAUAAAAGUCAAUCUGGAUCCAUGGCAGGUUGGAAUGGGAAAAUUACGGAUGAAUAAAUUCUAUACAUUCAUGAUGGAACCAAUGCAAUGGAGGCCAUGGCUUGUAUGCUGCCGAGUUUAGUGGAGCGGGCAUCAUAUUCACUCUACUGUAAAUUAUGUGGAUUAUGGUGAGAAGGGGAUUAGCACAGGUUAAGUGGCAAUGGCUUUAUGCACAUACGUCAGUUGUGUCCAUCCAGUUUUUUUUUUCUAUUUUGUGAAGCCGGACACAACCGAUAAAUGU
Molecule: long non-coding RNA, 1351 nt
Organism: Bufo gargarizans (Asiatic toad)
Lineage: Eukaryota; Metazoa; Chordata; Amphibia; Anura; Bufonidae
Exons: 3
Source: RefSeq, a predicted model, not a curated record